CCUCCAUGAUCACAGAAACCGGCAGAAGGUCAUGUCUCAAGCUGAAGGUCUUCGUGAGGCCGCCGAAUGGCUGUGAGAAAACCAUAGGCGUUCAUGACCGCGUUUUUGUCGAUGACAAAGUAGACAAUGCAUUAGAACCAAGAGAUGACACGAGUCACGAGGCUGAACCAUCCCGGAGCGACGUGUCGACUUCAGGCCUGCGGCACCAGACGUCGCGCCCCCUGCUGGCGCUCCUGCUGCUCUGCAUCUCGCUCUAUCUGCUCUUAUAACCCAGAGCGUUCCAUCACCUUUCACCCAUAUUUAAGUGCUCCUUUGAUUAGCCGUGCAGAGAAGAAUCGCAGAUUAUCAUCCGAUUAACCAAUCACAGCGGCUGCUCUCUGCUGAUUGGCUGCCAGGAGGAUGGGGGCGGAGUCAGAGGGUCGCAUCAAAGAGACAUUAUACCAUCAAAGCCGGCUCUGCUGUUAGAAAUCAAAAACACAAAGACUUUUCUUGCCUUUUUUCGUCCUUCGUCUGCCUUCCCGUAACAAACUGCAGAAGAAGAAACGGCCUGACGAUGCAUCUCGGAGAGUUAAUUACUAGUCUAAACACUGAAAAAAAUGAUUCAUUGGAUUUACAAAAAAAAAAUUAAGGUAAAAUUAAGGUUGCAAACUUAUACAGUUGAAGUCUCCUGAAGUAUUAGCCCUCCUAUAUAUUUUCCCCAACUUCUGUUUAACGGAGAGCAGAUUUCUUCAACACAUUUAUAAUCAUAAUAGUUUUAAUAACUCAUUUCUAAUAACUGAUUUCUUUGAUGAUGACAUGAUGACAGUAAAUAAUAUUUGACUAGAUAUUCUUCAAGACACUAGUAUUCAGCUUAAAGUGACAUUUAAAGGCUUAACUAGGUUAAUUAAGGUAAAGUUAGGGUAAUUAGGCAAGUCAUUGUAUAACAGUGUUAUAACAGGCAUGGACAUACAGGGAUUUUUCCAGAAAAGACCAUUCAAACAUCCAUUCCAAAAUGGCGGUAAAUUUGGACAUCAUUAACUAGAAAUGAGCUCUUAACGGCUGCGCUUGUAUUAGUAAACAUAGAAGGGGUCGUGCUUUUGUUGAUGGUUUCACUUUUACUUAAAGCUUUAGCAUUCAUGCAGCUGAUUUGUGAGACAUCCAAAGGCAGAAGCACGAACCACAGCUAAAUGUUUACACGUUUGACUACAUUACAAAUUCUGUGAAUGGAUGAGUAUUGUCAGCAGCUUAUAUGAAACCAUAUAGAGGAACACUUUCACAUGUUGAGAUGUUCAUAAUAUGUGUAUCUGACUGCACACUGAAGCAGCAACUGAAGCAGAGCUUGAAGGUAAACAAACAACGGCUUGUGAUAAGCAUUUUAUCGAUAAUUUUUUACACGGUUGGCAUUAAGAAGGAACAUAGGAACGUUAUCUGACUAACAUCUAGCAGCUAAAUGUGUCUGGAAAAAUAUGCAAAGGCUUUUAUUUUCGUAAACAGCACGGAUGUGAAUGCAUCUGAGUGUUCUGAUUGGCUAAAGUAGAUGUCUCCCGUCAGUGCAUUCUAUAUGUGAGCGUGCACUUUCUGGCAAUUUUCCUUUUGCAUUCACACGGUGCACCGUUCCGGCAAUUUACCGGCAAUGUUACAACUUUUCUUUCCGGAAAAUUGCAUUUAAUUGUGGUAUUUUUAAAAAAGGCCUGUUUACACAUACAGACCCUUUUAUACAGCCGGUAAUUUUCCGGAAAGGUCUGUAUGUGUGAAAGGGGCUACUAAUAUUGACCUUAAAAUAUUUUUAACAAAUUAAGAACUGCUUUUAUUCUAGCUGAAAUAAAACAAGCAAGACUUUCUCCAGAAGAAAAAAUAUAAUAGGAAAUACUGUGAAAAAUUUCCUUGCUCGGUAAACAUCAUUUCAAGAGUUCACGCUUAGAUAUUGCUUGAUAAUAUUAGCAGGUUUGGCAUUCUGUCCCGGGAGAGAACACUGAGCUCUGAGAGAGUUGAGGCCAGGGCUCCCGCCUGGUCAUUUAGCAUGAAAAAGGGGGUCAGAGAUCAGGUAGUUCUCAAGAGCUCCCCCUGGUUAAAGAGGCAGAUGGGGUGGACAGGGGGAUUCUUCAAAAACCAAGAUAAGGGUAUUAGGGUGAAAAUGGACUAUUCAUUGUAAGCUAGGAUUAAUCUGAUGAUUUUAUCGAUUUAUAUAAUGUAUCAUAUCAUGUGCUCCUCUCGAAAUUAGUUUAUAAAAUUUUAACUUGCUUUAAAAGUAUUGAAUUGAAAUGUUUAAGAAAGAAAAAAAAUCUGAUUGUAAUUAAUUUACAAGUUAACGAAUAAUUUUGACUUCAACUGCAUGUGGGCUGAAUAUAAACAAAUACAAUUUGUUAACAUUACUAAAUUUAAUUUGUUUAAAUGCAGCUUGUAUUAAUAGUUUGCAACCACUUACCUUGUAAGUAAAAUGUAGUAAAUCCAAUGAAUUUUUUUUUUCCAGUGAAUGUGUAAUCUGAUUUGUGUUGAAUUCGGAGGGACUUGUCUUAGUAGACCGCACCACUAAAAUAAAAAACAACAAAAAAAAACAACAACAAUUUUGUAUUUUGUAAGAUAAACUUAACAGCGACAUAAAUAUCUCUAUUUUUCCUAUGACCUUUUAUCGAUUGAUAUGAGAUAUCAGCAUUAACGGAUCGUGGAAACUCUUUUCUCUGUCAUAACUGUGUGUUCGACUCUAUAUUAGGAACCAAAUAUGAGAAGGGGCUCCGCACGACGUUUUAUUCCCCUUUUCUCUGGGUGGGAAAGGCCUUAUACUGUACACACAAUACUAAUCUCUCCUCAGCUGGGGGAAUAAACUGUAGUUCAUUUCAUUCAUGCAUUUGUUUGUUCUGUAGCUGUUUAUCGGUGCGAUUCUGACUCGUUUUAAUAUGCUGAUGCCACAUACUGUAGACGAGAUGAUGUUAAAUUACGGGCAUUCUCCUCCGACAGCCUUAUAUACUGUUUGGAGGAGGAACUGCAGGGAGAAUUUCACAAAACUAGAUGGUAGAUUAAUAUUUCACCACAGUAAAAUAAAAAUAGGAAAACUAAUAAUCUAGAGUUUUCUUUCUUUGACUGUUAUAAAUACACUGUAAAGUUUUUACUGUAAAAUUUACAGUGAGUCACUGGCAUCUUUGGUUGUCAAAUUUUGUAAAUUAUUACAAUUGUGCUGUGUUUUUUAAAUUAAAAUUGUAAAUAAUUUACAGUGUGCUUGUAACCAAAAUCGCUGGUAAUUAUUAACUUACAGUGCACUUGCAAAUUUACA
Danio aesculapii is the source of this 3247-nucleotide long non-coding RNA. RefSeq lists it as uncharacterized. The transcript is spliced from 3 exons. NCBI's taxonomy places the organism in Eukaryota, Metazoa, Chordata, Actinopteri, Cypriniformes, Danionidae. The record is from RefSeq and is a predicted model, not a curated record.